UUCGGCGGCGGCUUGUAAACCGGAACUGGAGGUGGGUGCUCUAUCUUCGGCGGUGGAAUGACUAUCUUUGGCGGCGGCUUGUGGACUGGAACCGGCGGUGGAUCAACUUUCUUCGGCGGUUUAGGCGGACAAGGCUUCUUCGUUGGUGGUUUGUAGACUGGCACCGGCGGUGGAAGCUCCACCUUCGGCGGCUUAGGCGGACAUGGCUUCUUCGGUGGCUUGUGUACCGGAACUGGAGGUGGGUGCUCUAUCUUUGGCGGUGGCUUGUAAACCGGAACCGAAGGUGGGUGCUCUAUCUUUGGCGGUGGCUUGUAAACCGGAACCGAAGGUGGGUGCUCUAUCUUUGGCGGUGGCUUGUAAACCGGAACUGGAGGUGGGUGCUCUAUCUUUGGCGGUGGCUUGUAAACCGGAACCGGAGGUGGGUGCUCUAUCUUCGGCGGUUUAGGUGGACAAGGCUUCUUAGGAAUAGGCGGUGGAAGCUCCACCUUUGGUGAUGGCUCGUAAAUCGGGACAGGUGGGGGAACCUCUUUCUUUGGCGGUGGAUCGUAAACCGGAACCGGAGGCGGAACCUCUUUCUUUGGCGGUGGCUCGUAAACCGGAACCGGAGGUGGAACCUCCACAGGAGGGCUGAAUUUAGGUGGACAUGGCUUCUUGAGAAACGGUGGAAGUUCCAAAG
This 676-nucleotide long non-coding RNA is filed under the name Arabidopsis lyrata. RNAcentral's name for it is "long non-coding RNA (ALYR_LNC000727)". Lineage: Eukaryota; Viridiplantae; Streptophyta; Magnoliopsida; Brassicales; Brassicaceae. The record is from RNAcentral.